RNA transcript from Neltuma alba, 2451 nucleotides. It is a transcript of the gene named zinc finger CCCH domain-containing protein 32, with no coding region annotated. Lineage: Eukaryota; Viridiplantae; Streptophyta; Magnoliopsida; Fabales; Fabaceae. The transcript has 8 exons. The record is from RefSeq and is a predicted model, not a curated record.
AUAAAAGAAAUGGGAAGAAGCUGAAACCCAACCCCGAAGCCAGACCGUACACUACAGUCCUAGUUAGAGAUGUGAGUGUGCGCGAGUGAGUGAGACGGUGAGCGAGAGUGUGGAAAGGAAAGAAAGAGCAGAGACUCCGUUCCUGUGGGAACGCAUCUCCGUUACUCGGAUUCGCGACGCAGCCGGGCAAGGGGCAAAAGCGUCUCCGAUCUCUCAGAACAUUCUAGACUACUGUAAAUUUCCUGUGCAGUACCAUAGGUCUGAGUUGUUCUGGAUCCUUAGUACAAACAACCAUUUCCAUGGAGUUGUACGGUCGGAACCCGGUUAGGAAUGGGUCGCAAGCGGGCAGUCAAUCUGAAUGGCGCACAUCAGGUGGCGAACCUGGGCUUGAAGAAUCGAUGUGGCACUUAACUAUUGGCGGCACCGAAUCUUACCCGGAGCGACCCGGCGUACCCAAUUGUGUGUAUUACAUGCGAACCGGGUUCUGUGGAUACGGUAGCAGGUGCCGUUACAAUCAUCCUCGUGAUCGUGCUGCGGUUGCAGCAGCUGUGAGAGCUACCGGGGAGUACCCAGAACGAGUGGGGGAACCUUCAUGUCAGUAUUAUUUGAAAACGGGAACCUGCAAAUUUGGUGCAUCCUGUAAAUUUCACCAUCCAAAACAUGGAGGUGGAUCAUUAAGCCAAGCUUCUCUAAAUAUUUAUGGAUACCCUUUACGCCCGGGUGAGAAAGAAUGCUCCUACUAUUUGAAAACGGGGCAGUGCAAAUUUGGCAUAACUUGUAAAUUCCAUCAUCCCCAUCCAGCUGGCACAUCAAUGCCGGCUUCUGCAUCUCAGUUUUAUCAACAGGUGCAGUCUCCUACGGUCCCUCUGGCUGAACAGUAUGGGGGCGCAUCCAACAAUUUGAGAGUGGCCAGGCCCUCAAUAUUGCCUGGUUCAUAUGUGCAAGGGGCUUAUGGUCAUGUCCUCCUUUCUCCAGGGGUUGUUCCCUUUCCAGGAUGGAGUCCUUAUACGGCACCUCUGAGUCCUGUGUUAUCUCCUGGUGCUCAAUCUGGUGUUGGGGCUACUUCUCUGUAUGGAGUGACCCAGUUGUCUUCAUCAACAUCAGCUUUUGCUAGGCCAUAUACUCCUCUUCCAUCAACUACUGGCCUUUCAGGCAGUGGCCUGAAUGAACCGAUAUUUCCUGAAAGACCUGGUGAACCUGAAUGCCAAUACUAUCUGAGAACAGGGGACUGCAAAUAUGGAUCAGCAUGUCGAUUUCAUCAUCCCAGGGACCGGACUGUGACCCGGCCACAUCUCAGCCCCAUUGGUCUUCCUUUGCGUCCGGGGGUGCAACCUUGUGUUUUUUAUUUACAAAACGGGCAUUGCAAAUUUGGCUCCACUUGCAAAUUUGACCAUCCUUUGGCGUCUGUGAGAUACAGUCCCUCCGCAUCCUCUCUCACUGAUAUGCCGGUAACUCCAUACCCUGUUGGGUCCUUGCUUUCUACCCUGUCUCCUUCAACAGCAUCUUCAGAGCUUCAGCCUGAACUGAUGUCAGGCUCAGAAAUGGAAUCUUUUUCCACUAGAAUGCCAUCCUCUGGAAAUGGUUCAAGCAAUUCUGUCAGUUUAAUUUUCUCACAAGGGGGAACCGUCUCUCUUUCUGAUGUGCAACUCUCAAGUCAAAGCCCUACUCCUUUAAGCAGUAGCAGAAGUACUAGACAAAAUGGCGACAUACGAUGAUCAGUCUAAUGCUAAACUGAUUCCUCAUUAUCUAUUGGACGUGAUUUUCCAUUGCUCAAUUGCUUCUGUUGGUAAUCUUAGUGAAUUCCUAGUGGCAACUGUUCAUAGUUUCACAGUCACAGCCGACGAUUCAUCAAGUUCUGGUUACCCGAUAUUAGUCAUUCUCUUCAAUGCUAUUCUCAUCUGAUUAUAUAUCAUCCGAAAUAAUCUCUAACAGAAAACAACUUCCCUAGGUUUGUCUUCGGCCGUGGAUUCUGUUAUUUUAUUUUUGGUACUAGUGUGAUGUUUAUUAUACCAUGUGUAUAUUAUAGAUGGGGGCUCUUAUGCGAGACCAAAGCCAUGCACUACUCCAUACGCAGGUUAUUUGACACCACCAGGUCCCAGGGAGAAUGAGAGCACGACCCGCGCCUGUUAAGAAUCUAACUGCUGAAAAGGUAACAACGGAAAUGACUCUUGACUUACGCUCUAAGAAACCGAUACCUACGCCUCUUAAGUUAAAAUCAAACAGAAUGUUACGCAGAAUCUAAUUUUGGAGCAGUUGGUGUUCUACCUUUCUGUCGUUCCCAUUCUUGUUAAUACAACUCUGAGAAGAUUACAUAUGUAAGAUUUUCGGUUUUAAUGAGACAAUAACGUUAAAAAAAAAAAAGAAUGCUUGAACGGUAAGGUAGUGGUUAAAUGUGAGAAUUGGUAUAGGUCAGAAACCCUUCUAUGAGUUGGAAAUUGCGGGUUGGAUUCU